This 481-nucleotide ribosomal RNA is filed under the name uncultured bacterium. Its description in RNAcentral is "partial 16S ribosomal RNA". It matches the Rfam family "Bacterial small subunit ribosomal RNA", at positions 28 to 507 of the family's 1533-position model. The record is from RNAcentral.
GAUGAACGCUGGCGGCGUGCUUAACACAUGCAAGUCGAACGAAGCAUUUAGAACAGAUUACUUCGGUUUGAAGUUCUUUAUGACUGAGUGGCGGACGGGUGAGUAACGCGUGGGUAACCUGCCUUGUACUGGGGGAUAGCAGCUGGAAACGGCUGGUAAUACCGCAUAAGCGCACAAUGUUGCAUGACAUGGUGUGAAAAACUCCGGUGGUAUAAGAUGGACCCGCGUCUGAUUAGCUAGUUGGUGAGAUAACAGCCCACCAAGGCGACGAUCAGUAGCCGACCUGAGAGGGUGACCGGCCACAUUGGGACUGAGACACGGCCCAGACUCCUACGGGAGGCAGCAGUGGGGAAUAUUGCACAAUGGAGGAAACUCUGAUGCAGCGACGCCGCGUGAGUGAAGAAGUAAUUCGUUAUGUAAAGCUCUAUCAGCAAGGAAGAUAGUGACGGUACCUGACUAAGAAGCUCCGGCUAAAUACGUG